CGGCAAAGUUCGAACCACUUCAUGAACCAGUCACGUGGUACAGCCGGGCAGCGAGGCUUCGGACGUCAUCAUUUUCAGCUCCUCCCAUAAAUGAAGCAAGCCUCGAUACGCGCUUCGCGGAAACGCCCCCUCCAUUACUCGACACACGCUCCGAAGCCUCGAUACAGAACGUCCCAUCACUACUGGACAUGCUUAUUUUGUGGACUGUAUCCUGCCUUUACCUGCUCCCUCCUAUACUGAUGUGGUGUAUGUGGUAUUGCUGAGCUUGUAUGUGGUGGAAGCAGAAUAUGUGAGGAUUACUACUGCAUGUUCCAAGGCUUUUUACACAACUUGACCAAUACACUGACCAGCUCAUAAAAGUCUUCAAGAAAAAAGGAGGCGUUGCAGGGAAGAAAAUUAGACAAACUUUGGCCCCAGCCACACAGAAGGAAAGUAUUGAAAAGGGGAGGGAGUGUGUCCUCAGGGCACUACCUUUUUACCUGAAUGAAGACCCAAGCAUCCUCUUCAAAGAAUAAUUGCUACAGCUGUUCAGAGGGAGCUGGAACAAAUUACCCUUGCUAUCUUUACCAUCGAAAGAGCUGAUGCCAGCACUCCUCCAGCCGAUGUGGGUAUAACCAUCUAGUGUGUCCUGCAUGACCUGGAAGACCUGGCCUCUGCAUGUGCACUCUUAAUGGGUGGGAUAUAUGCACUGAAUCUCAGUUAACCUCAAGACUGAAAGCUUUCUUUGAAGUACUUCAGAAGCUCUUCCUUCAUCUGUAUGUCAGCAUACUCUUGACCAAGGUACAAUUGCUCAAGAAUACACUGAAUGAAUAAGCCAACCUUUAAUUUGGAUGAUGAAUGUUCUGUCAGAUGGACAGAAGUUUUUCGGAGGCUGAAUGGGAAUAAAAUGGUAAUUUGUAAAUGACAGAUAACGGGAAAAUUACAUUUAAGAGAAAUUUAGAACAUUUUGAAAAGUUUGUAAACUACUACAAUUUGAGAGAUUUUACUGUUGUGGGGGGCUAGUAAGAGACAAUCAAAAGUAUUGAGAUUUAAAGGAUUUAAUUGAGAGAUGAUACUGCACCAGAAAUGUUGAAGGGUGGUGUGUAUAUUAGCGUUCAAGGCAUAUUGUUAUGAGGUGGAAAUAUGUUCAUAUUCAGUUUGUGUUACAUUGUGUGCAUUGUAAAGGUAAUUGCAAUACAUACUAAAAAUAAGGGUAAGUUAGGAGGUUGAUCUGAUAUCCUCGUGUUGGUGUUGUUCCCAGAUCAUCAUACUAAAUGUUGUUCCAGGAUCAACAUUGCAAGUGACCAAUCAGAAUGUUGUGACGUCAUACUUUUGCGACUUCGGGAAAAACCGGCGUAAAACAAAAAACUGUACUUAAGCUGCGUGAAACCGCCUCUGCCCGCCGAUCAACUGACCCUAACCCUAACCCUAACCCUUUAAUAAACAGUAAGCAGAAUUGAUAUUGUCCUUGCACGAAUGGCUUGGCGCGCAAAAGAAUAACGUCACAACAAUGUGACAACAUUUUCAUGAUGGUCUGGGAACAACACCAACACGAGGAUAUCAGAUCAUCCAAGUUGGGAAUGCAGGAUGAAUGUAUAUUUUGUGGACUUUUAAAGACGAACAAUUGUUUCCAUGUUAAAAUGUUUACAUCUGAAGUUUUUUGCCCAAACACUAGUAAAAUAAAUGUUGACAGUGGCAAGUGUUAAAUGGUUACUGCUGUGCUGUUGCAAAAAAACUGAACGCUGACAAGCUUACAUAAAUUUUUUUUAAAUUGUGGCUGUUGAGGUGGACACUUCACUUUGCAUUGUUAAAGGAAAGCACUUCAUUGGCAUUGUGUUACUGGACUGACCCUAAGCAAUCAUUGCAAAUAGCAACUUUGCUAUCCAUUUUAGACACUAAAAGAAAAAAACACUCACAGACCUUACUAGCAUCACAUGUGCAUAACUCAAGUGUCAUCUUAUCAAUGUGUUAUGUGAUCUUCAAUGCGUUUUUUUUUUCUCUCUUCUAUUUCUGGUAGAUACAGACAUUUAAUUUAAAGUCUUGAUGUUGCAUCUGUCUACAUACUGUUAAUUACUAACCCUAAUGAGCUGUUGUGUUUUAUUUUGGACUGGGUUUACACAAAUGCUCACUGAAUGUGUUGGCAAUAAAAGAAAUUUUAAAAAAUAA
Molecule: long non-coding RNA, 2145 nt
Organism: Astatotilapia calliptera (eastern happy)
Lineage: Eukaryota; Metazoa; Chordata; Actinopteri; Cichliformes; Cichlidae
Source: Ensembl